Long non-coding RNA from Symphalangus syndactylus (siamang), 1306 nucleotides. RefSeq lists it as uncharacterized. The record is from RefSeq and is a predicted model, not a curated record. Lineage: Eukaryota; Metazoa; Chordata; Mammalia; Primates; Hylobatidae.
AAAAAAAAAAAAAAAAAAAAAAAAAAAAAGAGAGAGCAUGACUUACCUUCACUAAUAAAAGAGCCAUCAGUCUACCAGCCACUUCUCUGAAAGCAGGAGGAAUAAACCUGCUUUUAGGGACUGCCCCUUUCCUCAGCUGGUCCUGUCCUGAGAAUGAGGAAGUCAGGGCUUUUGUCACUUGAGGCUUUUUUUGUCACCUAUUAUGAGGCAAUAGAAAAUACCAAACUACACACUUAGGUAUUCAAGUGAGCUUAGGGGCAGGCACAAGAGCCACACACACCGGUGACUCAGGGCUUAGCUAGUUAAUAACAACAUUUCUGAAGUAUAUUAAUAAUAAUACUCAAGCAAUAGUGGAAAUGUGUGAAGUGACAAUAUUAACUCAAAGAGCUAGCAUCCCUGAGGCUUACUCUGUACCAGGCUGGGGGUUUCACAUUCUUAUUUUACUCAUCACAGAAACCCUCUGAGAACAUGCACUCCGUGGUUACCAUCUUAUAGAUGAGGAUCGGGGUGAGAGAAGAUUAAUACAUUCCCCACAGUCUAGAUCAUCAGCAGAACUAACAAAUCUUGGGCAAGGACCCAGGAAGCAGAAGCAGAAGCAACACAGAGCCGGUCUGCCUUUUUGUUUUUUUGCUUUUUUUUUUGUUUGUUUGUUUGUUUGUUUUUGAGACGGGGUCUUGCUCUGUUGCCCACAUUGGAGUGCAAUGAUGCGAUCAUACCUCAAUGUAACCUCUGCCUCCUGACUCAAGGGAUCCUCCCACCUCAGCCUCCUGAGUAGCGGAGACUACAGGUGCACAUCACCAUGCUUGACUAAUUUGUGUAACUUUUGUAGAGACGGGGUUUCAUCAUGUUUCCCAGGCUGAUCUCAAACUCCUGGACUCAAGCAAUCUACCCCCCUUGGCAUCCUAAAGUUCUGGGAUUACAGGUGCUCGAAAUGUGAGUAAAAGCGACUACAACUUCUGUUCAGACUGGACUUCCAAAUGCUGGAAGCACGGUAAACUCGGCACAAGAAGUACUUGUGAAGGAAUGGGCUUCUAAAGAGCCUGCCAUGGACCCUUUCCACAUCUACUAAGAAGUUUUGGCAUUAUAUGCCAUAGGCCCUCUGAGUGUAGCCAGAAACAAACAAACAAAAAGCCAGAAUCAUCGGCACCUGGGGGAUUGUCAGAAAAGCACUCUCAGACCCAACUCCAUCCUACGAAUCAGAAUCUACAGUUCAGCAGGCUCCCAAGGGGACGCCCAAAAACGACAACAUCUGAGAUGCACCGCUAUGCAUUCCUUUUCCUUAACAAUAAAUUAAAAUCAAAUUGAA